GGGUCGAUAGCGAAGUUGGUUAUCGCAUCUGUCUUACAUAAUCAUAGUAUUCACAGAAGGUCCUCAGUUCGAGCCUGGGUCGACUCA
This is a non-coding RNA of Abortiporus biennis, 87 nucleotides long. The record is from the annotation of a GenBank genome assembly. NCBI's taxonomy places the organism in Eukaryota, Fungi, Basidiomycota, Agaricomycetes, Polyporales, Podoscyphaceae.